AUGACCGCGCCUCCCAUGGAGCUCCGCCGCAGGGACUCCUCCUCGCCUGCGUCGCUGCCUUACCUCGUGCCGACAAGCCGCCUUGCUCCUACUUCCCCGCCUCCAUGCCGCUGCUUCGCCUGCUCUACAUCGAGCUGCCGGCGUCGAGAUGCCCCUACUCCGAGCAUAACCAUCGCAGCCUCUUCUGCUUCGGGCCAUGCCCAGACCUGUGUUGGUUUUUCCGGCAUCUUCUGCCGCUGCUCGCGCAUCGCCCUACCUUGCUGCUGCCCACUCGGGGCCCUUUUGUCUCGCUUGGUUUUGGAUCGGCAAGAAUGA
This 315-nucleotide ribosomal RNA is filed under the name Triticum aestivum (bread wheat). RNAcentral describes it as "partial small subunit ribosomal RNA". Lineage: Eukaryota; Viridiplantae; Streptophyta; Magnoliopsida; Poales; Poaceae. The record is from RNAcentral.